This 69-nucleotide transfer RNA is filed under the name Rattus norvegicus (Norway rat). It matches the Rfam family "tRNA". From Rfam's summary of the family: Transfer RNA (tRNA) molecules are approximately 80 nucleotides in length. Their secondary structure includes four short double-helical elements and three loops (D, anti-codon, and T loops). The record is from Rfam by way of RNAcentral. Lineage: Eukaryota; Metazoa; Chordata; Mammalia; Rodentia; Muridae.
GGGGAUUUAGCUCAGUGGUAGAGCGCUUGCCUAAUAAACGCAAGGCUCUGGGUUCGGUCCCCAGCUCCA